This is a long non-coding RNA of Micropterus dolomieu (smallmouth bass), 4098 nucleotides long. RefSeq lists it as uncharacterized. The transcript has 4 exons. The record is from RefSeq and is a predicted model, not a curated record. Lineage: Eukaryota; Metazoa; Chordata; Actinopteri; Centrarchiformes; Centrarchidae.
UGUUGUACUUACACUAAGUAAAGUACCUCAAUCAUAUUUUCAUUUUAUGCUUUGUACUCCACUACAUUUAUUUGACAGCUUUAGUUACUUUUCAGAUCAAGAUAUUCUAUUUCUCUAUAUGAAAUGAUUGUGUUAUAGAUCGAAGUAUAGUUAAGUAUAUUAUGCAUUUAAAAUUAGCUCCACCUCAACCAGCCGUAACAUUAAAGAACUGUUUAUAUGUUAAUGCAUCAAUUAUAAUGGUCCUGUUGUAUAUGAUGGAACACUGAAACACUCACAGGGCCCAUUCUGACAAAUACUUUAAUACUUUUUCAAUGCAGGACUUCUACUUUCAUUAAGUAUAAUUGAGUAUUUCUAUACUUUUACUUAAAUGAUUUCAAUACUCCACCAUCCACUGAUACUUUAUAACACCCAUAGGGGGCAGCAGUGCACUUUCAGUCAGUGCUGCCCACACCCAAACUAAAGCUAUGAGCACUGCCAUGGAACUGAGCCUACCCACUUUAAAUACAAGAGACAUUGCUCACUGUACAGUUAUGUUGUGAGUGUGACCUGUGCCGCUUUCAGCCUGCUUGCAUUGCCAUUUCCCAGCAAAUUUUAAGCUGGUGACUUACAAACCUUUAAGCUUGUGACCCCAAAAAGAACCACUGCUUAUUAAAAAGUCAUGUCCUGACUCCAAAUAUUGCUAUGUAUUCUUUCUUUUCAGGCUCUUAAAUGUCAUAAAAUGGAGCCAAGGCUCUGAAUCAAGGCUACAGGUGACUUUCCUAUAAGGUAGGCUAUAUUUUGGGACCUCAUCUCCACAAAGGAGGAGGUGGUGUGGCAGGGUGGACUCACCACAGCAGUCUGGGUCUUAUAGUUCAUGUGGGCGUAGAGCAGCACAGCUGUGUCGUUGUGCGACGCCUCCAGUGCGAUGGACAGAGCAUUGCUGCCAUCCUACAGACAGACGAGAGAGGAAGGAGCACAUAAAAUAGGAAGAGGGCAGAGAGUAAAAGUGAGUUCAAUGACCAUUACAACACAUUCUAACUGUCAGAGCUUUACAAUUUGAUCUUCAUUACACACAGUUGAUCCCUUUUCCUGUCUGGAUAUGUAACAUCGCUACUGGGAUGGAUGUUGGGAUCCUUGAUUGGGCAGUAAACAACCAGGACUUUCAUCCGUCCUGCAUCCUCAGCAUUUCUUUGUUUUGUUUUUUUUUAAAUUGUACUUUCCCUUCUAUUACAAUAUCAAAAAUAUCAAGCAGUAAGAAAGAUUCUGUACAUUUAAAUCCUAUAUUAAGGAGUAAUAGGGGUUUCAUGAAAACCAGACGUUAAGUCUUCUACAGCCCAUUCUUCUGCAGUCAGUGUAAGUUGCUCUGGUUGAUAGUAAAAAGUACAAAAUCUGCUAAAAAAAAGAGAAAAAGCCCUCAGUACAUAUCUUGGUCACAAGUUUUUUAAGUUGAGGGAUCUUUAUAACAGUGCUUGUUAUUAUAUCAACCAAUAUCACAUAAUGUUAUCAGAUUUUUAAAAAACAACUCAAUAUUAAUAUCAGUAGCAAGUGUGACUGCUGGGAGAAUAAUUCUUGUAUGACUUGCUUGUACUUUACAAAGCACGAAGAACAGACUGAAUUGCACACGUGAAGGAACAUUAUAGCAGGACUGUUGGGAAGGUGUUGGGAAUGGUUUAGCCUAUUUUAUUGUCUAUUGUUUUUGGAGAGCAAUGAAUUUACUCUACAAGUUGGCACGUGGCUUUCGUCUGUUCUAUUCUUUGCGAGUGUAGCUAUAACUUACUAGGAAACUGUAAUGCUUCCAAACAAAAUACCUAAAUGACAGUCACUCAUUUGCAUUGGCCAUAUGAGCUAUACAUGUAGUGGCUAACCCAACUAGCAUGGUCUAGCUAACGGGCAACAACUGUUCCACUGCCAAAGCUGUUCAGGUAUAGCACUCUCACAUUGGCAUUUAUUUUCCACACGUGGUGACGUCAAACUAAUUAGACAGUAUUAUGCUAAUUCAACAGAAAUUAUUUCAUUGAGCGAACCAAAAGAAAGUUGUGUCCUUUCUGUAAAAUCUAACUAGCUAAUAAGGCUAAGCAAUAGCACUGUACAUAUUACUCCACUGUGUUUUACAGUCAUGCUGUUCUGUGUUUUCAGAGGACAGGGGAGGUGGGGGCUUUUCCAAAUGUUUUCCAUCCCCCCAGUCCAGCUGUGCUGCAUUGAAGCACAACCCAGGGGCUGUCUGCACUGAAUGGCCAACUCAUUUUUGGCACAGAUGUGAGCACUCAAAUAUCUGUCUGCCUGGCCUCUCCAAGCAUCCAGACCAAUCCUCUGUAAAAUCACUUUAAAACACACGGCUGUGCAGAUUAUCAGAAAAUCAAGCGUCAAGUAUCACAAUCAGAAAUGAGUUUUGUCCCUGGGUAAGACCUGAGGAAUUUGAGAAGAGUAAAUGUUCCCACUGAAAGCUGGUAGGUAAUCUAAGUUGGUUGGUUGACAAAAUAAUAACAGUAAUCACUGAUUAGGACAGGAUGGGUUUUGGGAAAUUAACAGUUGCUGCUGACUUGUGUGUGGGUCAUGUGGUGAAGCAUGCAGAGGACUCGUGCAAGAGCCUGCAGGGCAUUGUCUGGCAUCUGCAAGUCCGCGGUUGUGAACAGAGGAGUUGUGGCGUUUUAAGUCAUCCCCCGUGGGCUUGUGAGUAGCCCAGUGAUUGUGUUUCCUGUAAACAGUGCUGAUUUCAGUAGAAAGCAGAUGAAACAAAUCUGAUCACAGCUCUUAAUCUCUCAGCCUAUCUUGCUAAUGAAGAAAAACACGAAAUAAGAGAAGAAAAAGACAAGGUGACAAGGAGAGGAAACUGCAUGGACCAAUUUCCCAUGAGGAGCCAUUUCCUGAGAACAGAUUAAGCUAAAUCCCAGACGAGAAAGCGCUGAGAUGUUUCCAGCAGUUGGCUUGCAAGCUCAGGGCUGUUCCAGGAGCAGUUUCACAAUCUCAGCACGGCCGUGUUCGCUAGCACACAUCAGUGCCGUGGAUCCCUCGUCAUCCUGCACGUUAACGUCAGCACCACUUUCCAGCAGCGCCCGCACCAUCUCCUGUCGGCCGUGGCUAACAGCUAGCAUCAACGCUGUCUGGCCCGCCUGCACAGCAGCCCCACCACACGGAAGUUGGAGUGGGAGACGCUGUAGUGGAGAGCUGUGUUGCCGUUGCCGUCGGUCAUGUUGACUACGUGCUCCAGCAGUACUGACGACACCUCAGAGAACGCCAUCAGGUAGUCUGAGACCCUUGAAGGCUGAGCCAUCUUGGCGCUAGAGAUCCGAAACCACUCGAGCUGGACAGUGUGGGUGCUGGAGAGCUGUAGAUGUUUCUUCCUCCAGAGCCGCCUCAUCAUCCUCCUCUGUGCUGUCCAAGCACUCGCCUUCACCACUUUCUCCAGAAGAACUCCCAUCUUCCUCCUCCUCCUCCUCUUCAUCUUCACUGGAUGUAGAUUCAUACCUGGGGAGACACAGAUAUUUGCUGGAAUACAGAGCAACUUUUUUAAUUUCCAGGGAAUUUGGUUGGUAAGGAAAAAGGGUUUUGUUUCUUACUUGUCAAAUCUGUGACCUGAUCAAAGUGUUAUUUCCAACCUCUAGACCAUCUGCAGGCCUUAUUUUAUUUUUACUGUGGUAAAAAAAAAAGUAGGUUUCAUGUUACCCACCCUCCAUUUAGAAUGCCAACAAACUGCAGGCUCUUCUUGCCAGCGUUGCGAUUCUCGCUUGAGUUACUCCCAUCCUUUCUCUUCAUGAUUGAUUUCAGCAUACCUGUUACCAUAAUGGAAGAAGAUAGGUAAAAAAAAUAGUUGAUUAGUACACCAUUCAAACAUAUACCUCACAUGAUACAUGAUGUAAACAAAAUUGUGUUAUUAGUCUCUAUGUCUGGCAGAGAUGCUCACAAGUCUUUGAGCUAGAGUCCAAGUCAAGUCUCUCGUGGUUAUUACGAAUGUUGCAUCACCUGCUGCGUUCAAUCCAGGUUGCUAAUAAAACUUCAUAGCUAUAAGGAAUACUGUUAACCUGUUUUACAGAGCACAGCCAUGUAAUGUGCAAUGCAAUUAAUGACAGCUUAUUAAAUACUGUAAGUCAAUAAAACUGUGACGUUGCAUAAUCAACAAUA